UCCCUGGUGGUCAAGUGGUUUGAGCUUGGCACUUUUACUGCUGUGGGCCUGGGUUCAAUCCCCGGUCAGGGAA
This 73-nucleotide transfer RNA is filed under the name Ovis aries (sheep). It matches the Rfam family "tRNA". From Rfam's summary of the family: Transfer RNA (tRNA) molecules are approximately 80 nucleotides in length. Their secondary structure includes four short double-helical elements and three loops (D, anti-codon, and T loops). Further hydrogen bonds mediate the characteristic L-shaped molecular structure. tRNAs have two regions of fundamental functional importance: the anti-codon, which is responsible for specific mRNA codon recognition, and the 3' end, to which the tRNAs corresponding amino acid is attached (by aminoacyl-tRNA synthetases). tRNAs cope with the degeneracy of the genetic code in two manners: having more than one tRNA (with a specific anti-codon) for a particular amino acid; and 'wobble' base-pairing, i.e. permitting non-standard base-pairing at the 3rd anti-codon position. The record is from Rfam by way of RNAcentral. Lineage: Eukaryota; Metazoa; Chordata; Mammalia; Artiodactyla; Bovidae.